CUACGUGCCAGCAGCCGCGGUAAUACGGAGGGUGCGAGCGUUAAUCGGAAUAACUGGGCGUAAAGGGCACGCAGGCGGCUAUUUAAGUGAGGUGUGAAAGCCCCGGGCUUAACCUGGGAAUUGCAUUUCAGACUGGGUAGCUAGAGUACUUUAGGGAGGGGUAGAAUUCCACGUGUAGCGGUGAAAUGCGUAGAGAUGUGGAGGAAUACCGAAGGCGAAGGCAGCCCCUUGGGAAUGUACUGACGCUCAUGUGCGAAAGCGUGGGGAGCAAACAGGAUUAGAUACCCUGGUAGUCCACGCUGUAAACGCUGUCGAUUUGGGGAUUGGGCUUUAAGCUUGGUGCCCGUAGCUAACGUGAUAAAUCGACCGCCUGGGGAGUACGGCCGCAAGGUUAAAACUCAAAUGAAUUGACGGGGGCCCGCACAAGCGGUGGAGCAUGUGGUUUAAUUCGAUGCAACGCGAAGAACCUUACCUACUCUUGACAUCCAUGGAAUUCUGUAGAGAUACGGGAGUGCUUCGGGA
Molecule: ribosomal RNA, 522 nt
Filed under: uncultured bacterium
Lineage: Bacteria
Description: bacterial SSU rRNA
Rfam family: Bacterial small subunit ribosomal RNA
Source: RNAcentral